Molecule: ribosomal RNA, 497 nt
Filed under: uncultured bacterium
Lineage: Bacteria
Description: partial 16S ribosomal RNA
Rfam family: Bacterial small subunit ribosomal RNA
Source: RNAcentral
GACGAACGCUGGCGGCGUGCCUAAUACAUGCAAGUUGAGCGCUGAAGGUUGGUACUUGUACCAACUGGAUGAGCAGCGAACGGGUGAGUAACGCGUGGGGAAUCUGCCUUUGAGCGGGGGACAACAUUUGGAAACGAAUGCUAAUACCGCAUAAAAACUUUAAACACAAGUUUUAAGUUUGAAAGAUGCAAUUGCAUCACUCAAAGAUGAUCCCGCGUUGUAUUAGCUAGUUGGUGAGGUAAAGGCUAACCAAGGCGAUGAUACAUAGCCGACCUGAGAGGGUGAGCGGCCACAUUGAGACUGGGACAGGGCCCAGACCCAUACGGGAGGCAGAGGUAGGAGAAGUGCAGCAAUGGACGUGAGUCUGACCGAGCAACACCGCGGGAGUGAAGGAGGUUAUCGGAUCGUGGUAGUCUGUUGGUAGAGUAGAGCGUUAGUGGGAGUGAAAAACUCAUCAAGUGACGGUAACUAACCAGAAAGCGACGGCUAACUACGUG